Molecule: long non-coding RNA, 333 nt
Organism: Mercenaria mercenaria
Lineage: Eukaryota; Metazoa; Mollusca; Bivalvia; Venerida; Veneridae
Exons: 2
Source: RefSeq, a predicted model, not a curated record
UGGGCGCCCAUUGUGUCGGCCGUUGUCUUUAUCGGUAUAAUGAUCUGUUGUUGUGUGUGCUGCUACAAGUGUUGUUGCGCUAGCAACAGAACUACCGUUGUUGUUCAGAAUCCUGGAAUGGGAGGAAUGGGAGCACCAAAUAUUUCAACAACAAUGGUGUCAUCACAGAAUAGUGUCAACAGUUAUAACCAACCCGUGCAUUUUGACCCUAUCAAAUAUUAAAGGGAGAUAGAAUUGGUUUCAUUAAAUAUCUUUCACAAUGUCUGCAGUAACUUUGUUUAAUGCAUGAUGAUAUCUUUUCAACGUUUCUUCAAGUAAAAUAUGCUAUUAGUC